This 593-nucleotide ribosomal RNA is filed under the name uncultured fungus. RNAcentral's name for it is "eukaryotic LSU rRNA". It matches the Rfam family "Eukaryotic large subunit ribosomal RNA", at positions 40 to 647 of the family's 3401-position model. The record is from RNAcentral. Lineage: Eukaryota; Fungi.
AUAUCAAUAAGCGGAGGAAAAGAAACCAACAGGGAUUGCCUCAGUAACGGCGAGUGAAGCGGCAACAGCUCAAAUUUGAAAUCUGGGUCUUUCAGGCUCCGAGUUGUAAUUUGUAGAAGAUGCUUCGGGUGUGGCUCCGGUCUAAGUUCCUUGGAACAGGACGUCAUAGAGGGUGAGAAUCCCGUACGUGACUGGUUGCCUUCGCUCAUGUGAAGCUCUUUCGACGAGUCGAGUUGUUUGGGAAUGCAGCUCAAAAUGGGUGGUAAAUUUCAUCUAAAGCUAAAUAUUGGCCAGAGACCGAUAGCGCACAAGUAGAGUGAUCGAAAGAUGAAAAGCACUUUGGAAAGAGAGUUAAACAGUACGUGAAAUUGUUGAAAGGGAAGCGCUUGCAACCAGACUUGCACGCUGCUGAUCAUCCGGGGUUCUCCCCGGUGCACUCGGUUGCGUUCAGGCCAGCAUCGGUUUGGGUGGUUGGAUAAAGGCCUUGGGAAUGUAGCUUCUUUCGGGGAGUGUUAUAGCCCUCGGUGCAAUGCAGCCUACCUGGACCGAGGACCGCGCUUCGGCUAGGAUGCUGGCGUAAUGGUUGUAAGCGA